This 73-nucleotide transfer RNA is filed under the name [Clostridium] cellulosi. Its description in RNAcentral is "Clostridium cellulosi tRNA". It matches the Rfam family "tRNA". Rfam says of the family: Transfer RNA (tRNA) molecules are approximately 80 nucleotides in length. Their secondary structure includes four short double-helical elements and three loops (D, anti-codon, and T loops). The record is from Rfam by way of RNAcentral. Lineage: Bacteria; Bacillati; Bacillota; Clostridia; Eubacteriales; Oscillospiraceae.
GGGCUCAUAGCGCAGUUGGGAGCGCACCACAAUGGCAUUGUGGGGGUCGGGGGUUCGAAUCCCCCUGGGUCCA